Non-coding RNA from Hordeum vulgare subsp. vulgare (domesticated barley), 70 nucleotides. The record is from Rfam. NCBI's taxonomy places the organism in Eukaryota, Viridiplantae, Streptophyta, Magnoliopsida, Poales, Poaceae.
CGUUGUGUGGCGCAUUGGCUGGCGCGCCGCGCUUUGAACCGGAGGUCGUGGGUUCUAAUCCCGCCGACGU